Molecule: ribosomal RNA, 468 nt
Filed under: uncultured bacterium
Lineage: Bacteria
Description: partial 16S ribosomal RNA
Rfam family: Bacterial small subunit ribosomal RNA
Source: RNAcentral
GACGAACGCUGGCGGCGUGCUUAACACAUGCAAGUCGAACGGAAAGGCCCUGCUUUUGUGGGGUGCUCGAGUGGCGAACGGGUGAGUAACACGUGAGUAACCUGCCCUUGACUUUGGGAUAACUUCAGGAAACUGGGGCUAAUACCGGAUAGGAGCUCCUGCUGCAUGGUGGGGGUUGGAAAGUUUCGGCGGUUGGGGAUGGACUCGCGGCUUAUCAGCUUGUUGGUGGGGUAGUGGCUUACCAAGGCUUUGACGGGUAGCCGGCCUGAGAGGGUGACCGGGCACAUUGGGACUGAGAGACGGCUCAGAGGCGUACGGGAGGCAGCAGGGGGGAAUCUGGAGCAAUGGGCGGAAGCCUGAUGCAGCAACGCCGCGUGCGGGAUGACGGGCUUCGGGUUGUAAACAGCUUUCGCCUGUGACGAAGCGUGAGUGACGGUAAUGGGUAAAGAAGCACCGGCUAACUACGUG